This 221-nucleotide ribosomal RNA is filed under the name Shigella flexneri. RNAcentral's name for it is "partial 23S ribosomal RNA". It matches the Rfam family "Bacterial large subunit ribosomal RNA", at positions 1339 to 1563 of the family's 2925-position model. Lineage: Bacteria; Pseudomonadati; Pseudomonadota; Gammaproteobacteria; Enterobacterales; Enterobacteriaceae. The record is from RNAcentral.
GGAAGACCAAGGGUUCCUGUCCAACGUUAAUCGGGGCAGGGUGAGUCGACCCCUAAGGCGAGGCCGAAAGGCGUAGUCGAUGGGAAACAGGUUAAUAUUCCUGUACUUGGGGUUACUGCGAAGGGGGGACGGAGAAGGCUAUGUUGGCCGGGCGACGGUUGUCCCGGUUUAAGCGUGUAGGCUGGUUUUCCAGGCAAAUCCGGAAAAUCAAGGCCGAGGCG